AAACCUAUGGGCCAGUGUGACACAGUAGGUCAGCUCCAAGACUGACAUAGUGUCAGCCGGAGUGUCUUCCACAAGGCCCAGCACCCCUUCUGUUUGCCGACUUCUGAGUCCCUUGCUUCUUUCCUCAGGACAAGUGGGUACUGAAGCAUGAGGAUCUGGUGCUGGGAGAGCAGAUCGGAAGGGGGAACUUCGGAGAGGUGUUUAGUGGACGUCUUCGUGCAGACAACACCCCGGUGGCUGUGAAGUCUUGUCGAGAGACGCUCCCACCUGACCUCAAGGCCAAGUUUCUGCAAGAAGCGAGGCUCAAGGCUGCUCUCGCCUCUAGGGGGCGACUUUCUCACCUUUCUGCGGACAGAGGGAGCCCGCCUGCGGGUGAAGACCCUGCUGCAGAUGGUAGGGGA
This 401-nucleotide long non-coding RNA is filed under the name Rattus norvegicus (Norway rat). RNAcentral describes it as "long non-coding RNA NONRATT002814". The record is from RNAcentral. Lineage: Eukaryota; Metazoa; Chordata; Mammalia; Rodentia; Muridae.